GUGGGCUAAAGGGGUUGUUUGAUGCUGAUUAGUUGGGUGAGUUGGCAUGAUCUAAGAGAGGGAGGGAGAAGAAUAAUAGAAGAGAGCUAGUCCUUAUUCACUAUUACCUCUUCUACUUCAUAUGAAAAUAUAGAUUUAUUACGACACUCUAUCCUAUUGCCAAUUAGAGGCUGCAAUUAGGUAGGAUCUGAUCAUAAAA
RNAcentral lists this long non-coding RNA (199 nucleotides) under Elaeis guineensis (African oil palm). Its description in RNAcentral is "long non-coding RNA (EGUI_LNC014094)". The record is from RNAcentral. Lineage: Eukaryota; Viridiplantae; Streptophyta; Magnoliopsida; Arecales; Arecaceae.